UACGUAGGGGGCUAGCGUUGUCCGGAAUCAUUGGGCGUAAAGCGUACGCAGGCGGCUAUUCAAGUCGGGUGUGAAAGCCCAGGGCUCAACCCUGGAAAUGCGCCCGAGACUGGAUGGCUUGAGUGCGGGAGAGGGAAGCGGAAUUCCUGGUGUAGAGGUGAAAUUCGUAGAUAUCAGGAGGAACACCGGUGGCGAAAGCGGCUUCCUGGCCCGACACUGACGCUCAUGUACGAAAGCGUGGGGAGCAAACAGG
This 253-nucleotide ribosomal RNA is filed under the name uncultured bacterium. RNAcentral describes it as "partial 16S ribosomal RNA". It matches the Rfam family "Bacterial small subunit ribosomal RNA", at positions 524 to 776 of the family's 1533-position model. The record is from RNAcentral.